RNAcentral lists this long non-coding RNA (480 nucleotides) under Parus major (Great Tit). Its description in RNAcentral is "lncRNA (ENSPMJG00000003688.1)". Lineage: Eukaryota; Metazoa; Chordata; Aves; Passeriformes; Paridae. The record is from RNAcentral.
GCCUCAUGUCUCACACCUCCAGUCUCCCAGCAGGAAGAAUAAUGUUCAAGUAAGCUAUGCAGCAUAACUUUAUUUCUUCACUACAAAACCAUGCAAAUGAGUACUGAUAGAGCACUGCCUGCUUUGGAGUCAGAUUAAUCUUGCUGAAGCUCAUGCAGCAGAAAACCAUCAAGCAAAAUCAGUGUAGGAAAUCUACUGCUUGAAGAGUUAAGCCAGAAGAACUUCACAUUGUGUGGGGAAGACUGGGUUAAUAUGAGGCGCCUUGACAUAUCAGUCCUGAUUUACUGCACCUUACAAGAACUUAGAGGGAAGGUUGGAGACAUUCUUUCCCAACUGGGAACUACUGAAUGGAAUUGCUGUGAAGUACUGCUUCAUCAGUAUUCAGGAGAGUGAUGUUCACUACAGCUGGUUGAGAGAUGCUGCUUCUGCUGGAGAGGUAAUGCUGCAUGCCUCUCCACUUCUCUGGGAAUCUUUCUACUC